RNAcentral lists this unclassified non-coding RNA (398 nucleotides) under fungal sp. Its description in RNAcentral is "partial internal transcribed spacer region". The stretch from base 1 to 46 matches the Rfam family "Eukaryotic small subunit ribosomal RNA", at positions 1786 to 1831 of the family's 1831-position model. The record is from RNAcentral. Lineage: Eukaryota; Fungi.
AAGUCGUAACAAGGUCUCCGUAGGUGAACCUGCGGAGGGAUCAUUAACACGUUCCAAAACGUUCAGCCAAACUUCGUCAUGUGAACUUAUAUCCUCCCUGAAGUAAGAAAACUAUUGCUGUUGUUGGCAAAUCUCGUGGUGGGUGCAACGUUAGCUUCGGCUACAUUGCACGGUUUGCUCAAUGACUGUGAGGCGCUUCGGUGACCUCAGGGCAUUUCUUAUUUUGGGAUUUUCACUGCCACGGUUUUCUUAACCCCUUUCACUUCGAUUCUGCUGAAGCCUUUUUACGAAGGCCGAUCAGAGUCUAUAAGAAUUGACUAACAAUUUUUGCUGUUGAAAAACAGUGAAACAAUAAAAGAACCAAAGCACAACUCUUAGCAACGGAUAUCUUGGUUCUC